Molecule: long non-coding RNA, 2011 nt
Organism: Magnolia sinica
Lineage: Eukaryota; Viridiplantae; Streptophyta; Magnoliopsida; Magnoliales; Magnoliaceae
Exons: 3
Source: RefSeq, a predicted model, not a curated record
AAGGAGUAGAAACUCUUUCUUUUUCAUAAAUUUAAAUGAAUGAAAAAGAAUUUACCUUCAAAAUGAGCUUUUAGAUGGUAAAAUUAGAGGGAAUUUACUUCCAAUAUGUGCAAAAGGUUUUUUUUCCCCUGUUGCUGAUUUCAGUUUACUUCCCUCUUAUAUUAUGUUUUUACUUUCAUUCCCUUAGUUUUUCAACAAGAGUCAUUGAAAGGGAAAUUGAACAUGUCAAUUUGAAAUGGAACAUGUCAAUCAUUCCCUACAACCAGCAGGUUAGCUUAUCAUGGAUGCCUCAUAAAAAGUGUUAUUAGAGUUCUUUGCUUCAUUCAUUGCAUGCCUCAUAAUAAUUUCACUUCCUUUCUAGGAAAAAUUGAAAGAAUGAUUUUCUGUUCAUCCAUACAUUGUACAAUACAUUGAAUCAUCACUAUGUUUGAUAUCACCUAUUCACUACUUUUCUGAUUCAGUAGUUUUCCUUUCCCUUAAUUCAUUGUACAUUUCUGAAUAGAAUGUUUUCUUAUUUUCUUUUUAUUGUUGCAGAUGUUAGAGGGAUAGUGAAAAAUAAAGUUCCACUUGUGCAUUCAUUGACCUUAAUAAGUAUAUGAAAUUUUAGUAGAUGAACUCUUCUACCAAGAUGGAUUACAUGGAGCAAUUUUUCAAGGACCAAGUGGCCGUCAUUCAUAAAACUUUGGAAGCAGAAGAAAGUGCUUUUGAGAAAUUACUUCAGGGAGAACGUGACAAGGCAAAGCUCUCCAACAAUGAUUCUAGAAGCAAAGAGGAGAAGAAACUUAGGCAUUGAAUUUAAUUGACAUCUCUGAAAUGAAUUGUUUAUCUCGUUGAUGCAUAAGUUAGAUUCCUUUGCUAUAAUAUCUAGGUUUUACACUCUUUAGAGCUCAUGGCUACUGAAUUUUUUUUGUUUGGGUUGCUCAACUGAUCAGCCAAAAGAAAAAGAAAAAAAAAGCAUGCACACGCACACAGAAAAAAAUGGCUUUUUCUAAUAGUAACUGUUUUAGGAUUUGAUAUUCAUAAUACAACCCCAUCUUGGUUUUCGUUGUUUUAAAUCACCCAAACUCAAACAAAAGUCCCACUCAUCUUUUGGGCCUCUAGCGAGGGUGAAGAAGAAGAUAAGGAGACCAGAGAGUGCAAGUAUCUCUUUAAAAAUUUGAAGUUCUUCUUGAGUUGUGAGGUAUGCUUGUCUAUCUUUUGUGCGUAAUUACUUGUAUAAUGAUUUUCUUUUGAUGAGGUAUAAUUUUUGGCACAACCUGCCAAUGGCUCUUAUAUGAGCAUUUGAACUGUUAUCUUUAUUUGAAAAAUGUUUAUGAACAUAGGGGCAUGUUCACUAUCUUUUUUUUCUUCUUCUUUUCCAUGUCAUAAGAUUUUGAUGUUCGAGAGUUUGCUAUAUCAGUUGCUGGCAGAUUGUCUGAAAAGAAUCCAGCAUAUGUUUUGCUUGCACUUUGUCGCCAUCUCAUACAAUUUUUUAUGCAUCUUGAGCAAAGGUAAUCUGAAACAUAUCUACUUGCCAAUAAUAUUAUUCAUUUAUGGGGAAAUAGAUGCACUUUUUUUCAUAUUCAGAGUUGGUAGUGGUGUCAUACAAAGGUUUUGGGAAGAUUUAUGGUGUGAGGAGUGCUUGCUGAGAGUUUUGGAGAUCUUUAUGUUGGUUAAUCACAGAAAGGAGGCAUUGGUGAGGCAGUUGUUUCAGCAUGUUGGCAAUAUUAUUGUGUGGAAUGUCACCUUUAGAAGGAAUCUGAAAGACGAUGAAAUCUUUUGUAUACUCGCCUUUUCUCCUAUUUUCAAUCUGUUUAAAUUCCACUUACAAGUUCUGGCUGCAGAAUUUUUACUCUCAGCUCCCAAGGCUGAGUUACUUUACAAAAUCUCUUGUUGUAGCUCUUGGUAGGGGGUUCGACGGAAGGAAUUUGUAUUCUCAAGGAUUUGGAAGGGUGUGCUUCCUUUAAAGGUGAAGGCUUUAGCCUAGUUAGCUGUUGAAGGAAAAUUCUGACCAUGGAUAACUUUCAGAGGU